AAACGUUGGUCCCCAGUAGGGGACGCAGUCCGAUCUCAAACAAGCAACGGGGUUUGAGG
Molecule: non-coding RNA, 59 nt
Organism: Synechococcus sp. CC9311
Lineage: Bacteria; Bacillati; Cyanobacteriota; Cyanophyceae; Synechococcales; Synechococcaceae
Source: Rfam